GGUUUUAUAGCAUAACGUAAAUGCAUCAAAUUGCAAAUUUGAAAUAUAUGAGUUCGAUCCUCAUUAAAACCU
RNAcentral lists this transfer RNA (72 nucleotides) under Phaeocystis globosa. RNAcentral describes it as "tRNA-Cys". It matches the Rfam family "tRNA". From Rfam's summary of the family: Transfer RNA (tRNA) molecules are approximately 80 nucleotides in length. Their secondary structure includes four short double-helical elements and three loops (D, anti-codon, and T loops). The record is from RNAcentral. Lineage: Eukaryota; Haptophyta; Phaeocystales; Phaeocystaceae.